Molecule: long non-coding RNA, 4938 nt
Organism: Heterocephalus glaber (naked mole-rat)
Lineage: Eukaryota; Metazoa; Chordata; Mammalia; Rodentia; Bathyergidae
Source: Ensembl
GUAUGAGGCUACAUUUGCAUAACUCCUACCAGGGGUGUGACUCCUGAGAUGGAUGUUCAUUCUGCAAUAAAGAUGACAGAAUAGAGGUGGAUUUCUGGUGUCAAACAAGUGACUCUUAACAGAUAGACAACUUGUCAGAAAACAAAGACACGCUUAUUUUUCUUCUCCAAGGUCUCUCUUCUUUUCUGGUGCAAUAAACUGAAGGACAUGCAAUAGCUUAGGGUGACUUCCUUAGCCUAUCUUCACACACAUUUUCUUCUCUCUCAUAUUUUCUGCUGCUAGUUUUGCAGACUUCAAGAUGUGAGUCUAAAAAUAAAGACGCACGAAGAUUCAAUCACUACUAUUCUUUUAUUUAAAGCUCUGGACAAUUACCGAGGAGAAAAAGAACGUGGGGGAUGAAAAAUAGAGAUUAGGAAAAUUGAAUAAGAAAGUCAUUACGUACAAUACAUCAUUUGCUAUAUGGUGCUUUGUGAUUGUGAAUUUUAAUAAUGAGUCAGAGAAUAGUUAGGAUUCUUACAGAGUAUUAUGACCCUGUAAAAUUAUUCCCACCAGGGCAUUUUCAUAAGUGCCUUGAAGAUUAAAUUGAUAUUUAAAUAUACCUUUCUAAAAAGGAUAUUGUUUUCUACAUUUCUAGAAAAAUGAUCGUGGUUGUCUAAUUAACAUUGGCCAAUGACCACUAUGCUCAUUUAGUAAUUGGGAAAUUCUCUGAAAUGAUGCAUGCAGUUAAUCUGGCAACAACAGAGUAACAAAUAUUUGUAUCUAAAGACUAUUUAAAUUUUUUUUUUUGGUACCGGGGAUCGAACUCGGGUCCUUGCGCUUGCACAGCAGGUGAGGAAACCACUGAGCUAAAUCCCCAGCCCAAGACUAUUUAAAUUUUGACAGGGGUCUGAUGCAUAUGUGUGUACUGAAAGGAUUAAGACAUGUCAUAAUAUAGUACAAUACCUUUCAAAAAUAAUGAAAAAAACGAGUAGUGCAUUUUCUCAUUUCAUAACUCAACAGGACAAAUUCAUAAGGAGAUACUAAGCAAUACGGAAUCCAGAGAAGAAAACACAGGAUCUCAUUAUGGCUGUUAUUCAUUCAUUUAUUUAUCCAUUCUUGCAUUACAAGAGAAAUUUAUGUAGUGACUAUGGUACUCAGAUAAACAAUGAUAAAUAUGACAUCCUCACCAGCCACAUUUUACCUAGGUUCUCAAAGGGGAGAUACAAGAAUAAGUAGGUGGCACAAAGCAAAAUAAAAUACCUUUAUGAAGGGAGACCCAGAGAGAUAGUUCUUUAUGUUUGUAAACAUCAUAUUUAAGUUUGGGUGGGGUUGGAGUUAGAGAUAUUUUAGAAUAGAGUCUUCGGAGCUAGCUUGUGCUAUCUUUUGGAUGUUCAGCAUCCGUCAGAGCUCUGUGUGUUGAAGUCGUGGGAUGCUGCCCAUUUUCUCUUCUUCUCUUUUGCUUCCUAGCCAUGAAGAGAAUGGCUUUGUUCUACCAUAAUGUUCAGUUAAACCACAGGUCCAAAAGCAAUGAGGCUAAAAGUAUCAUGAACCGGAACCUCCACAACUAUGAGCUAACACAAACCUUGACUCUUUAUAAAUUAUUCAUCUCGGGUGUUUGUUAUAAUAAUGAGAAGCUGACUGGCAUACAGUGAAAAAUAUCUAUCACAAAACACUCCAUCUCACUGGGCACAUAAGUUCUGGAGCUGCAGUCACAGGGAAUUUGUGCCUCUCAUUACCAAGUUGCUCUGGGGCCUCUAGGUUGAGUUAAAAAAAACAGAAAAGGACACGGGACUGUCAGCUCCUCUUCCCAGAUUUCAAAUAUUCAAGUUCAGUCCUGAAAUUGCAGUGUAAGGUCCAUGCUCCUUGCCUAUUUGCACACAUUAGACUAUGGAAACUUCACCCAAUUCCUUUGAGAUAUUUUACAGUGUAUAUACAGUUCAUUGACUCUUUGACCUAGUUUAUGAAGAACGAGUACAAAGCUCCCCUUCUAAAUGAGUUUGGGAAGAAUGUGUCUCCUUACAUCCCAGCAAGAGCAAGGACUUGAUAUCCUGAGGAAGGAAUUUAAUGUUGCUAGAGAUGGUUGGCAACAGUCACCACACUAUGGAACCAACAAGAUAUUGAUUGAUUGAUUGAUUGACUGAUUGACUGAGGUACUGUGGAUUGAACCAGGGUCUUCUCAUGAAGCUACAUCUCCAGCCCUUUUUCAUUUCAUUUCAUUUUAUUUAUUUAUUAUAAGAAAAGGUUUGGCUAAACUGCUCAAGCUGAGUUCGAACUUGAGGUCCUUCUGUCUGAUCCUCCCAGAGUGCUGGGAUCAUAAAAGAGGAAAUACAUUUUACAAUACACGCAAACAUUAUGCACAAUUAAAAUUUCAGUAUUCGUCCAUGAAGUCUUAUGGAACAAAGCCAUACUGAUCGCUGGUGUACCGCUUGCCACAAUGUGAGACACUCAUGCUACAGUGGCGGAGUGGGUUGCAAUGAGACAGACUUUAUAGCCUGAGACUUAGACCAUAAGUACUGCUGUAACUGAAUAUCUGAGGCUGGGUAAUUAAUAAAGGACAUAAUUUUAUUUUCACAGAAAAAGUUUGCAGGCACUCGGACUCCACCAACACAGACACAGCUGGAUGGGAAGUGUCCGGACAUGUAGGACGGAGGAUUGGAGUGGUUUUUGCAUACCUAUACUAAGAAUUUGGAUUUUAUUGUCUACUGAUUGAAAGACCCUGACUUCUUCUCAGCAGGGAGAUGAGUACACAUGACAAAACAUGCGUUUUUAGGAAGCUUACUUUAGUGGCAGUGUGAGGGAAGAACUGAGGAGAAAAAUCCAGAUGAAACUGGGAAGCUAUUGGCAUAAUCCCAGUUAGAGGGAAAAUGAGUCGGAAUUCAGGCAGUGAGAGAAAAAAGUGAUGUGUGGAAAUGAAAAAUAAGGAAAAGAGCAUGGAGUAACCCCAGAAUAAUUGCUUGUAUUUGCAAAUGGUGGCAUCAUCUGCCAAUUAUCUGGAGUACCUUGAAGACUGUCUGUAUCUCAAGAGGACAGGAGCCUACCUCAUCUGAAUAGAUUUAAAUACUAUAGCAGAUACAGUCAAGAGCCAACCCAAAGUGUCUAUGGACUCAUCUUUCCAUGCCAAGGGUUGCAUCAAGGAUGUUCAUGGUUCUUGCACAAGCCUUUCUUGUCAUGGCUUCAACCUUCGACCAGGAGGACUACGAGUAAAAGUGAUGUUCCUGCCUUGGACCCAUGGAUUCACUCCAUCUUUGUCAUUCUAUCUCUGGUGGACAUUGAACUUUAUAAAAUGUGAUAAAAAGUACUUUUAGUCUUGGAAGGAGCAAACUGGACUGUCUGAAAAACAACUUUUUAAGUGAAAACGGGAACUUUUGGUGGAGAUCCACUGUUUCCAAAACCUUGAAGGAACAAAGGUUGCCACUCGCCAGCACCUGGGGAGUCAAUAUGCGUCUAUCAGCCACAGAAAGGUGACCAAUACAAAGAAAGAGAAGCAAAGGAAAUUAACCACGAAUGGGUAGAAAGUCUAGCAGUGACCACCCACUGCAAAGAUAAGUAUCAUCCUGCAAAAGGCUCAGAGUUGUUUCAACCUGAGAAGGAGGUUUGGACAUCCCUCACCUGUCAUCCAGAGCCCAAGGGAAGGAACAUACAAAGGCUUGGUCACCUCUGCCUCACCGUGCUUACAUCAGAGAGCUGACAGCAUCCUUCUGCAGAAGCAUAACACAUGUAAGCUACCAAAGAUGAAGACAGACCGAGGCCAGAGUGAGGGUCCAGAAAUGGUUUAAAAAGGCUCCAGGUAUAAUACUGACAUUUUCUUCUAGUAAAGGUGAGGAGACUUCCUUGUUCCUUUUCUGGAAAUAAUGUAUGAUUUCUCUGAUGAUAAACUUAAACACAGUCAUAUACCUUUAUUCACACAUUCUUACUUGAAGGAUUCUAUCAUUUCUGGGUUGUAACAAUGGGGAGGGUAGGAUUGAAUCUGUAUUGAACAUAUACUGAUUUUUUUUGGUCAUUAUUCUCUAAAAGCACAUUAAAACAAAAUUUCCCAUAGCAUUAUUUGUUGUAUUAAGCAUCAAAUAUGAUCUAGAAAUGUUUUAAAAUACUGUACAUGGAAACAUUUGGAUAAGUUCCAUGCAAAUACUACACCAUUUUGGAUUGGUCAGCUUUCCCAUUGCUGGCUCAAAGAAUCUGACACCUGUAACUUAAAGGAAAAAAAGGUUAAUUUUGGCUCACAGGUUCAGAGGGUUCAGUCCCUGGUUGGCUGGCUUGCAAGCAGAAACAUCAUGGCAGAAGGGUGUGGCAAAAGAAAGAUGCUUCCUUCAUGGAGGCCAGGAAGCAGAGAGAGAGAGGAGGAAAGCAACAUAGAGGAAGGAGUCAGGUAUCAGACCUGGUCUACAAGGUCAUGGCCCCAUGCCCCACCCCAAUGCAGCCAAUACGGGGAUCCACCAACACCCUGGCAGCUCCCAAGCUGUUCAAGUUGGCACAAUGAAGCUCAGCCAUCAAACCUUUAAACUAAUGAACUUGGGCAUCUGUGAAUUUUGGUAUCUGCAACAACCAUGGAACCAAUCCUUCACGAUUACUUAGGAACAACUGUAUAGGACUGGGCUGGUUAUAGGAUACUAGCCUACAAUGCUCAAGGCCCUGAGUUCUAUCACCAGCACCACAAAAUGCUACCAUUACCGCUCCCAUGACUAUGGCCACUACUACGCCUAUUAUUGUAAAGGGAAAGCAAAUUUGCAUGUGGAGAAACUCGAAAAGAAGAAGCUAAAGGUCAUGUGUAAAACCAUGAUGUGGUUCGCAUCUAGUUUGUUCUGUUUGUGGACUUUUCCCUAUGCAUGCAUAGACCCUGCCUUGAAAGUGCCUAAUUAGAAAGUUGGAUAUAAUCGCAUCGGCUCUCAGUGCCUGGGGAGCCAGCCAUCCUGUCAGUUCCAGCCUCUACACAUUGGCGUCUACCAUCUAUACUCCGGCAAG